CUUACCACUUUGUGAUUCAUGACUGGGUGAAGUCGUAACAAGGUAACCGUAGGGAACCUGCGGUUGGAUCACCUCCUUACCUUAAAGAA
RNAcentral lists this ribosomal RNA (89 nucleotides) under Klebsiella pneumoniae. Its description in RNAcentral is "partial 16S ribosomal RNA". The record is from RNAcentral. Lineage: Bacteria; Pseudomonadati; Pseudomonadota; Gammaproteobacteria; Enterobacterales; Enterobacteriaceae.